Molecule: long non-coding RNA, 1778 nt
Organism: Pseudopipra pipra
Lineage: Eukaryota; Metazoa; Chordata; Aves; Passeriformes; Pipridae
Exons: 7
Source: RefSeq, a predicted model, not a curated record
AAGGAGAGCAGUGCAGGCAGGGGGGCAGGUAGGCAGGCAAGGAGGGAAGGCAAGGAGGGCAGUGCAGGCAGAGAAGGCAGGUGCAGACAGGGUAAUGCAGGGAGGGCAAGCAGCGCAGGAUGAAGAGCAGGGCAGAGAGGGCAGCGCAGAAAGGACCCACUGCCCAUACGGGAGCAUCCCCCGCCGACAGACGCCCCGAGCUGGGUGAAGAAGUAGGGGGAACCCGAGAGAAAGAACGAGGAGCGGCCGGGCCGGACUCUGCCGGCCGACCAUCGCUCAUCCACCCCCGCCCCGCACUCGCGGCCGGGCCGGGGCGCGGAGCCCCCGCGGAGCCCCCGCGAAGCCCCCGCAGCCUCCCGCGCCGCGCGGGGCCGGCCCCGCAGCCGGACAAACAAUGUGAGACUUGGCGGAACAAAAGCGGCGGGGCUUGAGUUGCUGAACACGUCUGAGGCCAGACGAGCCGCGCGAUUUAUUGGACUCGGAGAGCCCUGGCUCCGGGUCCAGUGGCUGCUUCCCCCCCGGCCGGCCCCAGCCCCGCUCUGCCCACGGGGGAGAAGCCGCUCGCGUGGGGAGCGCGGCUCAGCCACGUGCCCCCGAACCCCUGGAGAAGAGGAGGUUGGCUUUUUCCUGAUGAUGCUGUAGACUCCAGGGGUUGGUUGUUAUCUUUGGUUAUCUAGCUGUAUGAGUGGUGUCGAUUCUUCAUAAAGCUAGAUAACCGAAAGUAAAAAUAACCCCAUUACACGCCUGAGGAGGAUGUGGAGAAGAAAGGAAAUUCAUCAAAAGGAAGAGGAGGAAAAGAAAAAAUGAAAAGAGGAAAAAAAAAAAAGGAAGAGAAAGGAAAUGAGAGGCAGAAAAAAAAUGGGGAAAAAGACAACUUUCAGAGUCUGGAAUUAAAACCCGAGCCCGAGGUCCGUUCUGCCGCAGCUCCGGGGGUGCCCGUGACACCAGGGAGGACGUGAGUUCAUCCCAUGUGAAGCUCAUUUUCUGACCGACGAGUCGCAGGUCUCUGUCCCCCGUGAAAGUUCACAGGGAAUAUCCUGCUCAGAUCAGCUCGUUACCACAUGAACCCAGGAGUGGGGGCUAUAUGGAAACCCCCACCCUCCAAAAGCCAUGAGCCCCUGCCUACGGGGAUCUGACAACAGGACCUGCCUUGUGGGACCCUCAGCAGAAGCCCCUCACCACGGCUGAUCCCACAUGCACUCUCCUCCUCCUCCUCCUCCAAGCAGCAGACCCCGGCCUGCAGCACGACUUAGAUCAUGAUUUGCACCAGCGUCCGUCCAGGCUGAGCAGGGCUGCUGAGCAGCCUCGACGUGGGGACACAGCACCAGCUCAGGGAUGGAUGGGUGGAGAGGACACCGGGACAUCCCCAUCCCACUGCUGCACAACACCCCAGGGACCACUUGCUGGUCAAGAACACAAGGCUGGAAGGAAAAAAAAAAAGGGAAGAAAAAAGGGAAAAAGAGUCUCCAACCCCAGGAAAUCUGUGUUAAUUGCUUAUGAAUGUCUCUGUCUAAAAAAUUAUCAAAUUGAUGUUGUAGUGCUUUUUUUUGACAGGCUGUCUGUUACAUUUUUUUUAAAAUAUUCAUGCACUGAAAUCUAAUUACUAGGCAAAUUUAAUGAUAAUGAAAUGAAGGCACUUUAGCAGAAAGCACAGGGCCUUGUUAAUGUUUUCUCAGCCUCUGUCUUGUUCAUAUUUUUAAAAUUAUGUUUUUUUACAACUGUCUUUCUUGCCUAUGAAAAAAAAAGAUUGCUGAAAAUAAAACUCGGAUUGUCGAUAA